This 451-nucleotide ribosomal RNA is filed under the name uncultured bacterium. RNAcentral's name for it is "partial 16S ribosomal RNA". It matches the Rfam family "Bacterial small subunit ribosomal RNA", at positions 354 to 796 of the family's 1533-position model. The record is from RNAcentral.
GUGGGGAAUAUUGGACAAUGGGGGGAACCCUGAUCCAGCCAUGCCGCGUGUGUGAAGAAGGCCUUUUGGUUGUAAAGCACUUUAAGCGAGGAGGAGGCUACUCUAGUUAAUACCUAGAGAUAGUGGACGUUACUCGCAGAAUAAGCACCGGCUAACUCUGUGCCAGCAGCCGCGGUAAUACAGAGGGUGCAAGCGUUAAUCGGAUUUACUGGGCGUAAAGCGCGCGUAGGUGGCCAAUUAAGUCAAAUGUGAAAUCCCCGAGCUUAACUUGGGAAUUGCAUUCGAUACUGGUUGGCUAGAGUAUGGGAGAGGAUGGUAGAAUUCCAGGUGUAGCGGUGAAAUGCGUAGAGAUCUGGAGGAAUACCGAUGGCGAAGGCAGCCAUCUGGCCUAAUACUGACACUGAGGUGCGAAAGCAUGGGGAGCAAACAGGAUUAGAAACCCGGGUAGUCC